This 299-nucleotide long non-coding RNA is filed under the name Elaeis guineensis (African oil palm). RNAcentral describes it as "long non-coding RNA (EGUI_LNC021971)". Lineage: Eukaryota; Viridiplantae; Streptophyta; Magnoliopsida; Arecales; Arecaceae. The record is from RNAcentral.
AGGUCAUGAAAAACUUGUCAAACCCCAUCAUUAGUCAUAUGCUAGAUUGGCUCGACUCGAGUUUAUUUAUGAAUUUUGUAUAAAUUUUUUUUCAGUAUUCACACUUACUCUGACCAAAAAUUUUUUGAACUCAGUCUUACGAAUCAUAUAGGACUUCUUCUUUUCUACCAAGAUCGAUAGAUUCCAUCUGGGUGCAUCUUACUCCAAACAGCGAACUUGAACCUACAAUAGUCAAUAUACACAGAAAGAAUCUGAAUGACUAGGGAUCAAGAGAAUGUACAGUCAAACUAUGUAGCCUC